This 602-nucleotide ribosomal RNA is filed under the name Clostridioides difficile. RNAcentral describes it as "bacterial SSU rRNA". It matches the Rfam family "Bacterial small subunit ribosomal RNA", at positions 941 to 1533 of the family's 1533-position model. The record is from RNAcentral. Lineage: Bacteria; Bacillati; Bacillota; Clostridia; Peptostreptococcales; Peptostreptococcaceae.
GUGGUUUAAUUCGAAGCAACGCGAAGAACCUUACCUAAGCUUGACAUCUCAACGACAUCCCCUUCAUCGGAGAGUUCCCUUCGGGGACAUUGGUGACAGGUGGUGCAUGGUUGUCGUCAGCUCGUGUCGUGAGAUGUUGGGUUAAGUCCCGCAACGAGCGCAACCCUUGUCUUUAGUUGCCAUCAUUAAGUUGGGCACUCUAGAGAGACUGCCAGGGAUAACCUGGAGGAAGGUGGGGAUGACGUCAAAUCAUCAUGCCCCUUAUGCUUAGGGCUACACACGUGCUACAAUGGGUAGUACAGAGGGUUGCCAAGCCGUAAGGUGGAGCUAAUCCCUUAAAGCUACUCUCAGUUCGGAUUGUAGGCUGAAACUCGCCUACAUGAAGCUGGAGUUACUAGUAAUCGCAGAUCAGAAUGCUGCGGUGAAUGCGUUCCCGGGUCUUGUACACACCGCCCGUCACACCACGGGAGUUGGAGACGCCCGAAGCCGAUUAUCUAACCUUUUGGAAGAAGUCGUCGAAGGUGGAAUCAAUAACUGGGGUGAAGUCGUAACAAGGUAGCCGUAUCGGAAGGUGCGGCUGGAUCACCUCCUUUCUAAGGAGA